UCGUUUGGUAAUUGACAUCGAUUAGUCGUUGGUAAUUACCAAGGAGUACUUCAUUAAAGCAGCGUUUCGCCGUGCCCACACCGAGACCCUGCUUUUUUAU
This is a regulatory RNA element of 100 nucleotides. It matches the Rfam family "23S methyl RNA motif". The record is from Rfam.